RNAcentral lists this ribosomal RNA (497 nucleotides) under uncultured bacterium. Its description in RNAcentral is "partial 16S ribosomal RNA". It matches the Rfam family "Bacterial small subunit ribosomal RNA", at positions 28 to 507 of the family's 1533-position model. The record is from RNAcentral.
GAUGAACGCUGGCGGCGUGCCUAAUACAUGCAAGUCGAGCGAACGGACGAGAAGCUUGCUUCUCUGAUGUUAGCGGCGGACGGGUGAGUAACACGUGGAUCACCUACCUAUCAGACUGGGAUAACUUCGGGAAACCGGAGCUAAUACCGGAUAAUAUUUUGAACCGCAUGGUUCAAAAGUGAAAGACGGUCUUGCUGUCACUUCUAGAUGGAUCCGCGCUGCAUUAGCUAGUUGGUAAGGUUACGGCUUACCAAGGCAACGAGGCAUAGCCGACCUGUGAGGGUGAUCGGCCACACUGGAGCUGAGACACGGUCCAGACUCCUGCGGGAGGCAGCAGUAGGGAAUCUUCCGCAGUGGGCGGAAGCCUGACGGAGCAACGCCGCGUGAGUGAUGGAGGUCUUGGGAUCGUAAAACUCUGUUAUGAGGGAAGAACAUAUGUGUAAGUAACUGUGCACAUCUUGACGGUACCUAAUCAGAAAGCCACGGCUAACUACGUG